RNAcentral lists this ribosomal RNA (460 nucleotides) under uncultured bacterium. Its description in RNAcentral is "partial 16S ribosomal RNA". It matches the Rfam family "Bacterial small subunit ribosomal RNA", at positions 338 to 795 of the family's 1533-position model. The record is from RNAcentral.
CCUACGGGUGGCAGCAGUGAGGAAUAUUGGUCAAUGGACGCAAGUCUGAACCAGCCAUGCCGCGUGCAGGAUGACGGCUCUAUGAGUUGUAAACUGCUUUUGUACGGGGGUAAACCCCGAUACGUGUAUCCGUUUGAAAUUAUCGUACCAAUAAGGAUCGGCUAACCCCGUGCCAGCAGCCGCGGUAAUACGGAGGGUCCGAGCGUUAUCCGGAUUUAUUGGGUUUAAAGGGUGCGUAGGCGGUUUGAUAAGUUAGAGGUGAAAUGUCGGGGCUCAACCCCGAAACUGCCUCUAAUACUGUUGGACUAGAGAAUAGUUGAGGUAGGCGGAAUGUAAGGUGUAGCGGUGAAAUGCUUAGAGAUCAUACAGAACACCGAUGGCGAAGGCAGCUUACCAAACUAAAACUGACGUUGAGGCACGAAAGCGUGGGUAGCAAACAGGAUUAGAUACCCCUGUAGUC